UACGUAGGCAGCAAGCGUUGUUCGGAGUUACUGGGCGUAAAGGGUGUGUAGGCGGUUGUUUAAGUUUGGUGUGAAAUCUCCCGGCUCAACUGGGAGGGUGCGCCGAAUACUGAAUGACUCGAGUACGGGAGAGGAAAGUGGAAUUCCUGGUGUAGCGGUGAAAUGCGUAGAUAUCAGGAGGAACACCGGUGGUGUAGACGGCUUUCUGGACCGUAACUGACGCUGAGACACGAAAGCGUGGGUAGCAAACAG
This 252-nucleotide ribosomal RNA is filed under the name uncultured prokaryote. Its description in RNAcentral is "partial 16S ribosomal RNA". It matches the Rfam family "Bacterial small subunit ribosomal RNA", at positions 524 to 775 of the family's 1533-position model. The record is from RNAcentral.